AGCCUUGAGGUGUUGUACAUGUCGGAUUGCAAACCCGAAGUCGUCGACUAACGUCGACCGGGGCUU
This 66-nucleotide transfer RNA is filed under the name Stethojulis strigiventer (three-ribbon wrasse). RNAcentral describes it as "tRNA-Cys". The record is from RNAcentral. Lineage: Eukaryota; Metazoa; Chordata; Actinopteri; Labriformes; Labridae.